This 487-nucleotide ribosomal RNA is filed under the name Salmonella enterica subsp. enterica serovar Enteritidis. RNAcentral describes it as "partial 23S ribosomal RNA". The stretch from base 1 to 366 matches the Rfam family "Bacterial large subunit ribosomal RNA", at positions 161 to 565 of the family's 2925-position model. The record is from RNAcentral. Lineage: Bacteria; Pseudomonadati; Pseudomonadota; Gammaproteobacteria; Enterobacterales; Enterobacteriaceae.
AAUCCAUAGGUUAAUGAGGCGAACCGGGGGAACUGAAACAUCUAAGUACCCCGAGGAAAAGAAAUCAACCGAGAUUCCCCCAGUAGCGGCGAGCGAACGGGGAGGAGCCCAGAGCCUGAAUCAGCAUGUGUGUUAGUGGAAGCGUCUGGAAAGGCGCGCGAUACAGGGUGACAGCCCCGUACACAAAAGCGCAUGUGCUGUGAGCUCGAUGAGUAGGGCGGGACACGUGGUAUCCUGUCUGAAUAUGGGGGGACCAUCCUCCAAGGCUAAAUACUCCUGACUGACCGAUAGUGAACCAGUACCGUGAGGGAAAGGCGAAAAGAACCCCGGCGAGGGGAGUGAAAAAGAACCUGAAACCGUGUACGUACAAGCAGUGGGAGCCCCACCACCAAAGCAUUUGCUGUACCGCGUUGACGGAGCGAAGCGACGUCAAACCGAUAAAACAGCAGUGUAAAGUGAGCCGCAGGGCGCUUUGCGCGACAGCGCA